Molecule: long non-coding RNA, 1185 nt
Organism: Anolis sagrei ordinatus
Lineage: Eukaryota; Metazoa; Chordata; Lepidosauria; Squamata; Anolidae
Source: RefSeq, a predicted model, not a curated record
CAUUAAGGGGCUUCGGUCAGAGCAGUCUGCGGCAGCUGCAGGGCCAGGCAGAAGUGUUUCAUUUGCGUCAGUUUGCAGCGGAGCCUGACGGGGCUGUGCUCAGGGUACUUUUAACUCUGCGUGACUGGCAGGUGCAUGAUGUCACAAUGAGGAGCUUCAAGCAGGGUUUUAGCCUGCCAACAACAAUGCAAGAUGAAAGUUGACUGGCCCCUUUAAACAGGAAAUGAUUGAUGUGUUAAGACAAGAAGAAGAGUUCUUAUGCAGCGCAGUCAUUGCACAAAGGAAGUAGUAAAUGCCUCCUCACCAGUACCACAAAAGGAUGCAUGAAGGUGUUCAUGAAGAUGUUAGCUGAAGUCCUACCUGCCUGUGUCACUAACAGGAUAUGAAUCAAUGUGUUCGUUUCCACUGAGAGGGGCCUGAAGAUCUGGAAGACAGUAAGGAAAGAGGGAGGCUACUGGCUGAUUGAUUUGUUUAAGGAAACCACGUCCCUGAGUGUGCAGGACAGUUGUUGAUAGGGUAUCUUAGUUGUUCAUUUAUAGGAUCACAAUAAGUCAAAUCAUUCUGGACAUAGAAAUAGCAACAAAUCAAUGCGCAGUGAAAUAUCACAUUUUGUCACAUCAGUGAUUUGGUGAGCUCAGUUGUUAAUCUCUGGGUCUCCAGAUGUUGAAUUGCACCCUGGAAUCUCACACUGAUGUCCAUACUUGCUAGGGCUUCUGGAAAUUGAAGUUCAGCAACCUCCUUGGGUCCAUGGUUGGGAACCAGUGAUUAUGCUUAUUAUGGACUGAUUUGAUGGGCAGUGGUUCUGCUGAGUCUUAGACUUUUCUUUCCAUAUGUCUGAUUCUUUAAAAUUGACCAGUGCCAGGGAUGGAUCAUCUGAAAUGCAGAGUAUGUGCUCUGCUGCAGAUAUGAACCCUUCUGAACAGCGCAAUAUGGUUCACAAGAAACAUAUAAAUGUUGGCUUUUCUCCAGUAAUUGCCUUCAUCUUGCUCUUUAAUUAAAAUCAAUGCUUUGUGUAUUUACUUCAUUUUUACCCGGUCUUUCUCACCCUGCAAGGGACUCAAGGCAGCUUACAAACUCCAGCAAAAUUCAGUGCCGGGUGGACAAAACAAUAAAACACACCAUCAAAUUAUAAAGCAGUUAAACAUAUGAACAAUUAAAACACAUAAACAAUAAAACAGAUUAAAA